RNAcentral lists this ribosomal RNA (256 nucleotides) under uncultured bacterium. RNAcentral describes it as "partial 16S ribosomal RNA". It matches the Rfam family "Bacterial small subunit ribosomal RNA", at positions 524 to 776 of the family's 1533-position model. The record is from RNAcentral.
GACAGAGGAUGCAAGCGUUAUCCGGAAUGAUUGGCGUAAAGCGUCUGUAGGUGGCUUUUUAAGUCCGCCGUCAAAUCCCAGGGCUCAACCCUGGACAGGCGGUGGAAACUACCAAGCUGGAGUACGGUAGGGGCAGAGGGAAUUUCCGGUGGAGCGGUGGAAAUGCGUAGAGGAUCGGAAAGAACACCAACGGCGAAAGCAACUCUGCUGGGCCGACACUGACACUGGAGAGACGAAAGCUAGGGGAGCGAAUGGG